GAUGAACGCUGGCGGCGUGCCUAAUACAUGCAAGUCGAGCGAACAGACGAGGAGCUUGCUCCUCUGACGUUAGCGGCGGACGGGUGAGUACCACGUGGAUAACCUACCUAUAAGACUGGGAUAACUUCGGGAAACCGGAGCUAAUACCGGAUAACAUGUUGAACCGCAUGGUUCAACAGUGAAAGACGGUCUUGCUGUCACUUAUAGAUGGAUCCGCGCCGCAUUAGCUAGUUGGUAAGGUAACGGCUUACCAAGGCAACGAUGCGUAGCCGACCUGAGAGGGGGAUAGGCCACACUGGAGCUGAGACACGGUCCAGACGCCUACGAGAGGCAGCAGUAGGGAAUCUUCCGCAAUGGGCGAGAGCCUGACAGAGCAACGCCGCGUGAGUGAAGAAGGUCUUCGGAGCGUAAAACUCUGUUAUUAGGGAAGAACAAAUGUGUAAGUAACUAUGCACGUCUUGACGGUACCUAAUCAGAAAGCCACGGCUAACUACGUG
RNAcentral lists this ribosomal RNA (497 nucleotides) under uncultured bacterium. Its description in RNAcentral is "partial 16S ribosomal RNA". It matches the Rfam family "Bacterial small subunit ribosomal RNA", at positions 28 to 507 of the family's 1533-position model. The record is from RNAcentral.